GAAGAAAGAGGGGGGAGGGAUGAACACAUGCAAGUCGAACAGAAAGGCCCUGCUUUUGUGGGGUGCUCGAGUGGCGAACGGGUGAGUAACACGUGAGUAACCUGCCCUUGACUUUGGGAUAACUUCAGGAAACUGGGGCUAAUACCGGAUAGGAGCUCCUGCUGCAUGGUGGGGGUUGGAAAGUUUCGGCGGUUGGGGAUGGACUCGCGGCUUAUCAGCUUGUUGGUGGGGUAGUGGCUUACCAAGGCUUUGACGGGUAGCCGGCCUGAGAGGGUGACCGGCCACAUUGGGACUGAGAUACGGCCCAGACUCCUACGGGAGGCAGCAGUGGAGAAUAUUGCACAAUGGGCGGAAGCCUGAUGCAGCAACGCCGCGUGCGGGAUGACGGCCUUCGGGUUGUAAACCGCUUUCGCCUGUGGCGAAGCGUGAGUGACGGUAAUGGGUAAAGAAGCACCGGCUAACUACGUG
This 468-nucleotide ribosomal RNA is filed under the name uncultured bacterium. Its description in RNAcentral is "partial 16S ribosomal RNA". It matches the Rfam family "Bacterial small subunit ribosomal RNA", at positions 38 to 507 of the family's 1533-position model. The record is from RNAcentral.